This 497-nucleotide ribosomal RNA is filed under the name uncultured bacterium. RNAcentral's name for it is "partial 16S ribosomal RNA". It matches the Rfam family "Bacterial small subunit ribosomal RNA", at positions 28 to 507 of the family's 1533-position model. The record is from RNAcentral.
GAUGAACGCUGGCGGCGUGCCUAAUACAUGCAAGUCGAGCGAACAGACGAGGCUCUUGCUCCUCUCACGUUAGCGGCGGACGGGUGAGUCACACGUGGAUAACCUACCUAUAAGACUGGGAUAACUUCGGGAAACCGGAGCUAAUACCGGAUGAUAUAUUGAACCGCAUGGUUCGAUAGUGAAAUCCGUUUUUGCUGUCCCCUCUAGAUGGAUCCGCGCCGCUUUAGCUAGUUGGUAAGGUAACGGCUUACCAAGGCAACGAUGCGUAGCCGACCGGAGAGGGGGAUCGGCGACACGGGAACUGGGACACGGUCCAGACGACUACGGGAGGCCGCAGUAGGGAACCGUACGCAGUGGGCGAGAGCAUGGCGGAACGACGGCGCGCGAGUGAUGAAGGUCUUCGGAUCGUGAAACUGUGUUAUGAGGUAAAAACAAAUGUGGCAGGAACUAUAGCCGUUGUGACGGUACCUAGUCAGAAAGCAACGGCUAACUACGUG